This 259-nucleotide ribosomal RNA is filed under the name uncultured bacterium. RNAcentral's name for it is "partial 16S ribosomal RNA". It matches the Rfam family "Bacterial small subunit ribosomal RNA", at positions 793 to 1055 of the family's 1533-position model. The record is from RNAcentral.
GUCCACGCCGUAAACGAUGUUCACUCGCUGUAUGCGAUACACAGUAUGCGGCCAAGCGAAAGUAUUAAGUGAACCACCUGGGGAGUACGUCGGCAACGGUGAAACUCAAAGGAAUUGACGGGGCCCGCACAAGCGGAGGAACAUGUGGUUUAAUUCGAUGAUACGCGAGGAACCUUACCUGGGCUUAAAUGUAGGUUGCAUUUUUCGGGAAACCGGGAUUCCCUUCGGGGCUACUUACAAGGUGCUGCAUGGUUGUCGU